RNAcentral lists this small RNA (128 nucleotides) under Salmonella enterica subsp. enterica serovar Heidelberg. Its description in RNAcentral is "RtT sRNA". It matches the Rfam family "RtT RNA". Rfam says of the family: This family represents a bacterial cis-regulatory element known as RtT RNA. The exact function of RtT is unknown although it is thought that it may be involved in changing the cellular response in relation to amino acid starvation. RNAcentral also lists the same sequence under 3 other names. The record is from RNAcentral. Lineage: Bacteria; Pseudomonadati; Pseudomonadota; Gammaproteobacteria; Enterobacterales; Enterobacteriaceae.
AUAUCUCUCCGUACGGGAAGGAUGAGAAGCUUCGACUAAGGUUCGAUUCGAGCGCAGCGAGAACGCGUUGCCGCAGGCAACGACCCGAAGGGCGAAGCGCGCAGCGCUGAGUCAUCCUUCCCCCACCA